RNAcentral lists this ribosomal RNA (467 nucleotides) under uncultured bacterium. RNAcentral describes it as "partial 16S ribosomal RNA". It matches the Rfam family "Bacterial small subunit ribosomal RNA", at positions 28 to 506 of the family's 1533-position model. The record is from RNAcentral.
GACGAACGCUGGCGGCGUGCUUAACACAUGCAAGUCGAACGGAAAGGCCCUGCUUUUGUGGGGUGCUCGAGUGGCGAACGGGUGAGUAACACGUGAGUAACCUGCCCUUGACUUUGGGAUAACUUCAGGAAACUGGGGCUAAUACCGGAUAGGAGCUCCUGCUGCAUGGUGGGGGUUGGAAAGUUUCGGCGGUUGGGGAUGGACUCGCGGCUUAUCAGCUUGUUGGUGGGGUAGUGGCUUACCAAGGCUUUGACGGGUAGCCGGCCUGAGAGGGUGACCGGCCACAUUGGGACUGAGAUACGGCCCAGACUCCUACGGGAGGCAGCAGUGGGGAAUAUUGCACAAUGGGCGGAAGCCUGAUGCAGCAACGCCGCGUGCGGGAUGACGGCCUUCGGGUUGUAAACCGCUUUCUCCUGUGACGAAGCGUGAGUGACGGUAAUGGGGAAAGAAGCACCGGCUAACUACGG